This 6724-nucleotide long non-coding RNA is filed under the name Sorghum bicolor (sorghum). RNAcentral describes it as "long non-coding RNA (SBIC_LNC015642)". Lineage: Eukaryota; Viridiplantae; Streptophyta; Magnoliopsida; Poales; Poaceae. The record is from RNAcentral.
GGGAACGUUCGCUGUCGUGGAGAAAGACCCGACGAGAAAUUGGUCUUCGCGGAAAUCCUUUUUUCCUCCUUCGUGCUGUUAGGAUAGGACUGGGGAGAAUUUGAGGAGAUGAUAUCAUCCGCGCAUAUUUAUCCGUAACACAUAGAAUCGAGCACCCAUUUAUUUCUCACAGUGGUUGGGAGGGAGGCGUCAUGAGAAUCGUCAUCACCGUGGACCAUUUGGCGUGAUUUUCUGCGAUUCUCAUGCCGAGUGAUCAACAAUUCGAUUAAAAAAGGAACCCAACAAGCCCAAAUUGUCUAUGAUUGGACGUACAUUAAAUUUAGAGUGAACCACUAAAAAAAUAUGGAUUUAGAUGAGAAUACGGAAAAAAUUGCAUUUCACUCUUUUUUUUAAUUUAUCCAACAUAGACGCCUAUAACGUGCACGCACACUUCUCAUACAAUACACAUACAUACAAUCUACUUCUAUGAACACCUCCAAAAGACUCAGCCGGUAGAUCUUAAAAUUUACGAAAUCACCAUAUGAGCAAAUUCACGAAGUUACCACAUAAGACUCGCUUAGGGCCGGCUCUAGGGGAGGGACCGGCAAUGGGAUUGUCGUGGGCCCAUAAAACAAAGGGGCCAAUCAAUAUUAUGUAAUUAGUAGAUAUAUUAUGUACAAGUUUUUAAAAAAGAUGUAUUAUGCAUAUUUGUUUAGGCCUAAAAAUUAGCUCAAUAUGUUGCCAGCUGUUCCUAUUCUCGAACGUGCUACGUUAGCAAGCAGCUAUGUUUUAUCUCUUAGGCUGCGACAUCUGAUUGCCCGAGCGGCCGAGCCCGAGGAGCCGGGCAACGACGCUCUACCCCGACGCAACUCCUCUUGCUUUCUCGCCUUCUCAGUUCUUGCCUCUGUCGACUGAUGGGACUGCGAGAAAUCGACUCGGCCUAUUGGCUCCAUGUAGCAUGAAGGAUAUUUUGAACAAUACUGAUCUUAUACUGUUCUUGAAGAUUUUGUAUCAAAAAGUGUCCGACGAUGACUUUUACAAAUCAAAGCAUUAUAGUAUCAUUAUCUUUUAUGAACUAAAUAUAUGCUACAAAUUAUAUAUUCUAUAAUUUAGUCACCGUCUUAAAAUGACUACCUUAAAGGGCCUUUACUGUCUUCUUUGCCCUAAGGUCGUCAAAAUUAUAGAGAUGGCCUUGGCCUUAACACGGACGUCGUCUAUCGCUAAAAGUAUAGCACCGUUAAAUCCUAGAAUAAAUUCAGAAAAACACGAACACCUAUACCAAGUCGAGAACUUUAGUGUGAGAAAAUGCGGUAAUGAUACUGCUAGUGCAUCCGUCCGAUGCGGACGGACCAGUGACUUGACCGAGCAUGCAAUACGGACCAGUGACUCGACCGAGCACGCAAGUGCGCAGCGCUUCGCUUUCUUUGCCUGCUCCCAUCUGCGUCAUUCCCCCCUCGCUCGCUCUUCUCACAUCGCUUCCCGUACUCGUCUUCUUCACGUCGUUGUUCUUCUCGCUGGUACGUCGUCACAUUGCUGAGACCGAGGGGCACCGUGCCCACACAUCCACAGGAAUGUAGGGGUAUGACAUCUUGAACAUCUUGAACUAGGGGUAUGACACUUCUCUUCUUGGAUCCAAGCUUUGACUUCGCAAUAAAUGCAAAGUGAGUAUGCUAUCUUUCCUUAUCCCUACCUUGAGCUCCACAUAUGCUUUUUAGAAGUAGGAAGAACUAAGGAAGGCAACUCUUAUCAUAUGCCUUGGUGAGGAAUCAUACACCAUUUGAGUGACUUGAGAGAACUAUAUGAGGAACAUUAAGUUUUCUUUUGAAAAAUAUUACAAAACCUCUAGUAUGAAACUUGCUAUGAAUAAGAAAGUCGGUGCUCAAAUCAAAUUGUUCUAUCUUUCAACCACCUAAGACAAAGGAAAAUCCAUCAGCCCCAUAGAGGACUAAGGUAAUAUGGGUGAGUUUUUAAGCUAAUUUUUCAAUUCAAACAGAAGAACUUUGUUGUACACAUGGUACUCUCGAAAUGUGAGCAUAGAAACAAUACCUGAUCCACCGAGGCUAAGUUUGAUUGUUUGCUUGGGAUGAGCAAAGGUUAAGCUUGGGGGAUCUUGUUGACAAUGGAUAUACCAUAGAAAUUCGCACUCAAAACACCGUCAACAUGCCUCGAUCUCAAGGAAGUAACAUGAACAUAUUUUAUCCAUAACAGGCUCCACUUGUACUCUAAGCCUUUGAUUACACGAAACAAGAAAAUGCACCUUGGAAGGACCCAAUGAGGGGGUUGGGCGACCUCAUCAUGGUCCCACCAAGAGUUGAGCUAUGAAGUACAAUCCAUGUGGUGACCCCUAGAGUCCAUUUCCACCCUCAGAUCAAUUUCCAAUGGUAAAACAUCAUUGCACAUGGAUCCAUAGGCCCACAAGUAAGCAAGCAACGUGACAAAUAUUUUGACAAAUGGUGGAGCCACUUCACAUGAGAACUGGGGUCACCUUCUAGAAGACCCUAGCUGGGCCCACUUGCCAUAGAGUUGUCGGGUGACCCCUUCCUGGUGCCUAGCCAGGUCGAUUGGCUCCCCACCGACUCAAGCACAACUUACGCAUGUCCAAAUUACCUUGGUCGUUCAUCUAUGGCGGUUGCAAGGUCGGUUCAUCCAAGGGUGGAGAGGCAUGGAGCACACAGAUCGCUGAUGUGGCACCCUCUCUCCCUCCUCUAUAAAUAGAGGCUACCUCCACCCUUGAGAGGAAUACUUGGAAGAGACCAAAGCUUUAAGUCUCUCAAUCCUUCAAGGAUCAAGUAGUAUACUAGUAUACUAGUAGUUAGUCUAGAGUAGGAGUUAAGAGUCGAGUCAAGCGAAGCUCGGGGUCUCUGGAGUCAUCUUCUGGAGAGUCUGGUAACACUCUUGUACCUUUACUCUUUUGUAAGACUUUCCUUUUAUCAAUAUAUUAUUCUUCCUUUACUUUACUUAGUAUUUACCUAAGUAUUUGCUUAGUGCAAGUCUAUAGUACUAUAGUCUUGUUGUGUACUUAUAUUAGUAGUGUAGCUCUCAUAGUUGGAGUGGUUUCCUAUAACAACUCCUUGUGUGUGUUUCAUCGUCCUAUCUUGCAUAGGAACUUUAGCUAGCUAUGCGGUAGUUAGAGUUGAGAGAGUUAGUGUAAGUGUGGUGCUUAAACUAAGCCUCACCUUUGCUGGUCGCUGAUUUGGACAAAUGGUAGGAGCACACUGGCAGGACGUGAUAGGUCGUGCUCGGCAUUAGGAUCUCCUCACUUACAAACUAGUUCUUAAAAGGCAGGACGUCCAUAAAAGUAUAGUCGCUUUAGCAGGGGUUCUGUCUCCUAUUUUCUCGACUAUCCCCCUCACACAAGCAUUAAGGAAUCAGUCUAACUAAGUCAGUUAUCUAUUAGGAUUAGGUCCAUAUGAGUAAAGUUAGAUAAUAGGAGAUUCACUCGUUGUCCUCCCACCUAGAUAACUCUCUACCAAUUAUCUUAGAUUAGAUUCUUUGCUACUCUACUUAUCUACCCUUCCUAUCACUUACUUACUCCCCCCUCUUCACUAGUUGAUACUAGAUCAUAGUAGACAUAAGGAUCUCUCUUCUCUUUUAGUAAACAUUCCUAGCAUUGUUUUCCCUUAGGAUAAAAUAAAUAAUAAUACCUUGGAAUACUCAUCCUCGGUGAAGUGCUACAUCGGUAUAUUCUGUGCGCUUGCGGAAUAAUCCAAUAGACAUAAGAAGUACCCACUUGGCAUUUCUGGUGCCAUUGCUAAUAUCUAGUGACAAUGUUAAGAUUUGCCAACAAGCAUUUUUGGUGCCGCUGCCGGAGACUACGCAUUUUGACUAUUUCUAGUGAUUGCGCUAAGAAGUGUCAACACCGUCCGUGUGCGCAUUUCCUCUCUCUUGCUAUCACUGACGUCCGAGGCCUCCUUGGCAGCGACUUUCUCUCCUUCCUCAUGUCGGUUCCAUGCAGAAGUCGACCCGGACGUCAAAGGAAUCCUGAGAAUUUUGGCCUUGUCUUGCCAAUGCAUCAACUGAGACUAUAUAGCUCCGAGACUCCCCUUUGCGUCCUAUUUUUCCCAUCUUUUCGACAUCAAAGCUGCCCUAGCUGCUGCCCUGUUGAGUUCUAGAUCACGCCGAGCUCGAGCUUCACCUAUCGCCGCCAAACGCGAUUUCACCUCGGGCUGAGCCAAGAGCAUAGGUGGAUUCACGAUCUCCUUCUCCACCUCCCUAUAUUUUUCUUUUUUAUUUGAGGCACUCAGAAUUCCCUAAUUAUGAAUGUUGUCAACCAUCUCAACAUCGACAAUGGCGCUGCCAUGUCGGAGCUCGCUGCCGGCCGGCCAGAACCCCUCCAAUUGAUCCCGGUCGUCCUCUUUUGAUAGAACGACAUGAAAAUGCUGAUACCCCUUUGACUGAGAUUUUUGUUAAAGCGACCCUACAUUUUCUUAGAUUCAACCUGCAGUCUAUCACAUAUUUAGAAAAUGUGUUUUCUCAUUUUGAAAGCGUAAAGCCUUGGUUUGAAUUCUAAAAUACAUUUUCAGUAUUUACAGUUUUGUCAUUGAAAUUGUUUAGCUCAUAGAAUGCUCAUUUUAACUCCGAUUUGACUCGUUCAAAGUUUGUUAGAUUCGUAAUUGCAUAAUCAACAUGUUAGUGUUACUAUUUUCCUAGUUUGCAAUAUUUUAAUUUCGAGUUCCUAUUUAAUUAAUUAUUUUUUCUAUAAAAAAUCUUGAAAAAUCAUAACUUCUUUGUUUUAGCUUUGAUUUUUGUGAUCUUUAUGUUUGUGUGAUCAAAGCGAUGUGUAGAAUAUUUUUAUAAACUUUUGAUUAUAUUUUGCUACUGUUGGUGUAUUAUUCUAAUUAUAACUUGUUUGCUUCGUGUAUGAUUUGCUUUGAUUACUUGUGCGUUGUUGAUUGAUGGUCGAGUAUAGACGGUGAGCAGUACAUUGGUGAGCACGAUUAGUACUUUUGCUGACCAACAGGUGCAACAGGAAAGCUUUGAUCAAGGCAAGUAAAACUUGGGAUUAUCCUUUUUACCUAUACACUCUUAAUCAUACAUAUAUCAUAUGCACGUGUCCAACUGGACAACCUUAGUAAAAUCCUAGAUAUUUGAUACCUUGAAUACAUUGAUACCUUUUUGGUUAUGCAUUGGGGUAGUAUUUGCUUGAGCUUGACUAAAUCAUGAUCAUGUAAGAUAAUUAAUGACUAUGCAAUGAAUGCUAAAAGAUGACUUGACUACAUGAGAUCUUGUCUAUAUGUGAUCACCGGGAUUGGCAGUAUAACCGUAAGAGCUAUAUGGCUAUUUCUAGCUUGUCAGAGGUUACCGAAAGGGUGCAAAAGGGGAUUCCUGACUCAGGUAUAGUACAACCUUUGUCCCUAUGUGUAUAGGCUACGCGUCAUUGUGCCAUUCGAAAGGAGGGCUCUACAUCUGCUCAUCGAUUGGAAACCUAGCGGCCCUAACUUGUUAGAUGAACUUUUGAAAGCCUUCAUAGUGAACCCUACUAACCUCCCUAGGAAGGGGGUUAAGAUAUUAGCUACCUUGUGUGAAAGAGUAAAUCAUGACUCAUGGGUAAAGAUGUAUAACCUCUAUAGAGUGUUUAAAAAACUGGUAUACUUGUGCUCACGGCACAUGAGCGGCCUUGGAGACAUCUACAGUAAAGAUGAUGAUGCUUGUUAUGUUAAUAUGUUCAUUUACUUAUCAUUUAUGCUUUGUAUUAAUUAUGCUUACAUUAAUCAUGUGGUUAUGGGAUUAUAUGCUAUCCUAUUGUUGAUACUACUUGAUAAAUAUGAUAUAUAUACAUAAAAGGUAAAUAUAGUCAAACCAAUGUCAUCUAUUUGAGCCUCAUGAAUUGGUUAUACUUGUUGAGUAUGAAAUAUGCUCACUCUUGCUAUUUCACAAGAUGACUAGAAUGAGGACUAUCAUAAUGGGUACUAGGCUUGGAGUCAAGCAGUCAACAUUUGUCCUUGUGUGGUGCUUCCAUUAAGAGAUUAUCUAUUAGUUACUAUUAUUAUUGUUUUAUGUGUUGAAUAUUCAUUCGUUAUGUAAUAAACAUUGUGAUGAUGCUAUUUGAGAUUUGUCAACUUAUAUGUGCGCCUAUUUCUUGGUGUAUAUGAGUCUUUGUUGACAUUCGUUAAGUGCAAUAAUAAUAAGAAAAAUUCCACAAGCGUACAAAACAUCAUCGUAGCAUUUUACCGGGAGUAUUCCAGGUAUAGUUCUAUGAUAACAAAGAAUGAAUAGAUAUAGCAAUCGCAUAUUAGCACUUUAGAACAUCAGAACACCAACCAUAGAAAGAGAACUGGAAGGGGGCUGGGAAGCUCUAACUAUAGUCCUACAAACAUCGAUCCGAACGAGGUGGAAUACGUCGACCGUUAGGGCUGUCACUACCCUAGGGCUACCACAACAAUCCACCGGACUUGGUGCAACCUCAGGUAACCUCUAGUAUAGACACCACGUCUACACUAACGAUUUCUACUCUAAUUACCAUGAAUAACGAGAGCACUCGAUGCGAACGGAGAUCCUAUGCCAAAAUAUAAUAACUACACUACUCGAUAAUAAUAAAGGCAUAAAAGUAAAUAGAGAAGAUAAAUAUAUUAAAGCAUAAGUCUUACAAUAAAUAUAAAGACAUACCAAAACUCUGAAGACUUCUCCAGAACUCAAGCGUAGCUCCGCUCUCCCUAACUCCCGACUAGAACUAAUCUACUACAUUGGAAUGUCUAGCCCUAAUUCUCUAUAGAGGAAAGGUUGUCCUUCGAGGGCACCUCUCAAC